CGCGAUACAGGGUGAGAGCCCCGUACACAAAAGCGCACGUGCUGUGAGCUCGAUGAGUAGGGCGGGACACGUGGUAUCCUGUCUGAAUAUGGGGGGACCAUCCUCCAAGGCUAAAUACUCCUGACUGACCGAUAGUGAACCAGUACCGUGAGGGAAAGGCGAAAAGAACCCCGGCGAGGGGAGUGAAACAGAACCUGAAACCGUGUACGUACAAGCAGUGGGAGCCCCACCACUAAGCCAGUGGUGAACUCCACAUACGCAUCCUUUGCUGAGGAUACGGUUAACGGAGCGAAAGCGACGUUCAACCGCAAAAGAAGCAGAGGGGGCUUAGUGGUGGGGUGACUGCGUACCUUUUGUAUAAUGGGUCAGCGACUUAUAUUCUGUAGCAAGGUUAACCGCAUAGGGGAGCCGGAGGGAAACCGAGUCUUAAUUGGGCGUUAAGUUGCAGGGUAUAGACCCGAAACCCGGUGAUCUAGCCAUGGGCAGGUUGAAGGUUGGGUAACACUAACUGGAGGACCGAACCGACUAAUGUUGAAAAAUUAGCGGAUGACCUGUGGCUGGGGGUGAAAGGCCAAUCAAACCGGGAGAUAGCUGGUUCUCCCCGAAAGCUAUUUAGGUAGCGCCUCGUGAAUUCAUCUCCGGGGGUAGAGCACUGUUUCGGCCAGGGGGCCAUCCCGGCUUACCAAUCCGAUGCAAACUGCGAAUACCGGAGAAUGUUAUCACGGGAGACACACGGCGGGUGCUAACGUCCGUCGUGAAGAGGGAAACAACCCAGACCGCCAGCUAAGGUCCCAAAGUCAUGGUUAAGUGGGAAACGAUGUGGGAAGGCCCAGACAGCCAGGAUGUUGGCUUAGAAGCAGCCAUCAUUUAAAGAAAGCGUAAUAGCUCACUGGUCGAGUCGGCCUGCGCGGAAGAUGUAACGGGGCUAAACCAUGCACCGAAGCUGCGGCAGCGACACUGAUGUGUUGUUGGGUAGGGGAGCGUUCUGUAAGCCGUUGAAGGUGGCCUGUGAGGGUUGCUGGAGGUAUCAGAAGUGCGAAUGCUGACAUAAGUAACGAUAAAGCGGGUGAAAAGCCCGCUCGCCGGAAGACCAAGGGUUCCUGUCCAACGUUAAUCGGGGCAGGGUGAGUCGACCCCUAAGGCGAGGCCGAAAGGCGUAGUCGAUGGGAAACGGGUUAAUAUUCCCGUACUUGGUGUUACUGCGAAGGGGGGACGGAGAAGGCUAUGUUGGCCGGGCGACGGUUGUCCCGGUUUAAGCGUGUAGGUGUGUGUUCCAGGUAAAUCCGGUUCACUUUAACACUGAGGCGUGAUGACGAGGCACCACGGUGCUGAAGCAACAAAUGCCCUGCUUCCAGGAAA
Molecule: ribosomal RNA, 1359 nt
Filed under: Salmonella enterica
Lineage: Bacteria; Pseudomonadati; Pseudomonadota; Gammaproteobacteria; Enterobacterales; Enterobacteriaceae
Description: partial 23S ribosomal RNA
Rfam family: Bacterial large subunit ribosomal RNA
Source: RNAcentral